This 253-nucleotide ribosomal RNA is filed under the name uncultured bacterium. RNAcentral describes it as "partial 16S ribosomal RNA". It matches the Rfam family "Bacterial small subunit ribosomal RNA", at positions 524 to 776 of the family's 1533-position model. The record is from RNAcentral.
UACGAGGGGUCCUAGCGUUGUUCGGAAUCAUUGGGCGUAAAGCGUGUGUAGGUGGCUAUUUAAGUCAGGUGUGAAAGCCCUGGGCUCAACCCAGGAAGUGCAUUUGAUACUGAGUAGCUUGAGUAUGGGAGAGGAUAGUGGAAUUCCUGGUGUAGUGGUGAAAUACGUAGAUAUCAGGAGGAACUCCGGUGGCGAAGGCGGCUAUCUGGCCCUAUACUGACACUGAGACACGAAAGCGUGGGGAUCAAACAGG